GACGAACGCUGGCGGCGUGCUUAACACAUGCAAGUCGAACGGAAAGGCCCUGCUUUUGUGGGGUGCUCGAGUGGCGAACGGGUGAGUAACACGUGAGUAACCUGCCCUUGACUUUGGGAUAACUUCAGGAAACUGGGGCUAAUACCGGAUAGGAGCUCCUGCGGCAGGGUGGGGGUUGGAAGGUUUCGGCGGUGGGGGAUGGACUCGCGGCUUAUCAGCUUGUUGGUGGGGUAGUGGCUUACCAAGGCUUUGACGGGUAGCCGGCCUGAGAGGGUGACCGGCCACAUUGGGACUGAGAUACGGCCCAGACUCCUACGGGAGGCAGCAGUGGGGAAUAUUGCACAAUGGGCGGAAGCCUGAUGCAGCAACGCCGCGUGCGGGAUGACGGCCUUCGGGUUGUAAACCGCUUUCGCCUGUGACGAAGCGUGAGUGACGGUAAUGGGUAAAGAAGCACCGGCUAACUACGUG
Molecule: ribosomal RNA, 468 nt
Filed under: uncultured bacterium
Lineage: Bacteria
Description: partial 16S ribosomal RNA
Rfam family: Bacterial small subunit ribosomal RNA
Source: RNAcentral